GAUCCGUAACUUCGGGACAAGGAUUGGCUCUGAAGGCUGGGUGCGACCAGCCGGGACCGGUGCUCCACCUGCCGCAAGGUAGGCUGGCCCGUGCCCGCGGUCGCACAGCAAACAGCCAAUUCAGAACUGGCACGGCUGAGGGAAUCCGACUGUCUAAUUAAAACAAAGCAUUGUGAUGGCCCCGGGUGGGUGUUGACACAAUGUGAUUUCUGCCCAGUGCUCUGAAUGUCAACGUGAAGAAAUUCAAGCAAGCGCGGGUAAACGGCGGGAGUAACUAUGACUCUCUUAAGGUAGCCAAAUGCCGCUCAGUCUUCAUCCAGCCUUCGAGACGGCGUUACGCUGCCCA
This 346-nucleotide ribosomal RNA is filed under the name Anopheles gambiae (African malaria mosquito). RNAcentral describes it as "eukaryotic large subunit ribosomal RNA". It matches the Rfam family "Eukaryotic large subunit ribosomal RNA", at positions 1925 to 2315 of the family's 3401-position model. The record is from RNAcentral. Lineage: Eukaryota; Metazoa; Arthropoda; Insecta; Diptera; Culicidae.